CAUCUACUCCCCCCAUUCCAAAUUACUUGUCUUGGAUUUGUCUAGAUAUGGAUGUAUCUAGACUCAUUUUAGUGCUAGAUACCUUCGUAUCUAGACGAAUCUAAGACAAGUAAUUUGGAACGGAGGGAGUAGGUC
Non-coding RNA from Triticum urartu, 135 nucleotides. NCBI's taxonomy places the organism in Eukaryota, Viridiplantae, Streptophyta, Magnoliopsida, Poales, Poaceae. The record is from Rfam.